UAUACUAUCGAUGAAGGUUUACUUGGCACCCACACCUACUGGGGUAAUGUAAAGAUAACUCAACCAAUAAAUUGAUUAAGAAUAAAGGUAAUUAAAUUACCUGACAAAGAAACUUAUAGAAUUCAUUCGGUUUCAAUGGCGAAAGGUAUCUAUCUAUAAAUGUUUAUAGCAUUCGGCAUUCAAAUAUUUCAUGAAAAGCGACGGAUUUAAAGAAGUAAUGCUAUCAAAAAUCGAUCAAUUAUAUUUUAAAAUUAUAACGCAAGUCGUAAGAAUCUUUGUAUAUGUUGGAUUGCAAAACUGUAUUAUUUAAGAAUGAAAACAAAAAGAAAAAGCCUUAACUCGUCUUUACCCACUAACAAAAAAAAAAGAAAAAAGUUAAGUUUAGAAACAAUGAAACUCUUUAAUUAAAGUAACGAAAAAGAGCCACAGGUUUUAAUUAAAAUGGAACUUCUUCGAAAACACAUAAUAAAUGCUAACAAAAAUUACUCCAGGAGGAAUUAAGGUGGACACUGCAUAGCAGUAAUUUUCUCUGUCAAAUCCAUCGCACCCAGAAUUUCUGAAUGAUGCCGUUGGUGUCUACUAUAUACAGGAGGUAAAGCCGUUGGAAUUCGAAGUGCUGGAGCGAGACUUUCGACACCCAAUAAAUACAGACAGACUAAUGAAGUUGUUUUUCUCUCAAUGUAAGCCAUGUAAAGUUCAUGUUUUAGUUCGGGAAUACUUGCUAAACCAUGCUCAUGUAACAGCUGUAAAACCUUUAAAUUAAAAGGCGGUUUGAAAACAUGAGAUCGGAUUGAAGGCGUUGAGGGAAUAGAGGUUAAGGGAAUAGGCAGAUACAAACAAAACGAAUUUUUUUUUAACCAGGGAAAUUUUGCUGCUUGUUCUAAAGAACAGCGCUUCCGUGGGUUUACAUUCAGCAUAGCUGCAAUAAGAGAACAACAAUCUUCUGAAAUGUAAGAAGGAAACUCCAGUUUACCCGACUUUAUUUUUGAAUGGAGCAUAGGAACGGAAACGUCGUCAAAUGGGACUCGUCCACAAACCAUAACAUAAAUCACUACUCCCAGGCUCCAAACAUCAACCUCUGGGCCUAUGUACGGCUUUGCAUCAAGUAAUUCUGGGGCCGCAAAAUAAAGACUCCCACAGUAUGUACGUAAUAAAUCGUCUUUACUAUAAAAAUUACUGAGGCCAAAGUCAAUUAGCUUCACCUGACGAGAAUCCUGAGUUAAAAGAACAUUCUCAAUUUUUAAGUCUCUGUGUACAAUAAAAUUCUUGUGAAGAUAAACCAAUGCAUUAAUCAACUGCAUAGCAAAACUCCUAGCCAAAUCUUCAUCGAGUUUGCCACGAGCAAGGAUGUACUCCAAAAGUUGUCCUCCAGGAACGUAUUCGAACAGUAUGUAAGUACAUGCAGGCGUCCGGAUACAGUCUAUUACCCGGCAUAUGUUGGGAUGUCUCAAUAAACGACCUAAAAGUGCCUCCCUUUGAACACGAACUGUCUGACUUGUAUUAUUAGGAGUAAAGGGAAUCAUUUUGAGAGCUGCUUUCUCUCCUGUUAAAAUAUUUACAACGAGUUUAACCUUUCCCAUACUGCCAGCACCAAUUGUUUUCUUGAUAAUCCAGUUUCCAACUUGUCGACCAGGACCAGCUGUGCCAACGAAAUCAGAUAUAGACCUUUGAUGUUUUGUAGACUGAUUUAUUUUUAUAUUCUGAGAGCGUUUAGGAAUAGAGAAAGUAUCCCAGCACUCAUUCCUUAGGUUAGUUGUGUUCGGUUUCAUCUUCUCAGCUGUAAAAGGAAUUUAUGAACAAAAUUGUGCUUAAAUAAUUCAAUUACAAAUGAAGUUAAGAAAGGAAGAAGUAGUGUCUUAGAUAAA
Molecule: long non-coding RNA, 1865 nt
Filed under: Schizosaccharomyces pombe (fission yeast)
Lineage: Eukaryota; Fungi; Ascomycota; Schizosaccharomycetes; Schizosaccharomycetales; Schizosaccharomycetaceae
Source: RNAcentral